AGAGUUUGAUCAUGGCUCAGAUUGAACGCUGGCGGCAGGCCUAACACAUGCAAGUCGAACGGUAACAGGAAGCAGCUUGCUGCUUUGCUGACGAGUGGCGGACGGGUGAGUAAUGUCUGGGAAACUGCCUGAUGGAGGGGGAUAACUACUGGAAACGGUGGCUAAUACCGCAUAACGUCGCAAGACCAAAGAGGGGGACCUUCGGGCCUCUUGCCAUCAGAUGUGCCCAGAUGGGAUUAGCUUGUUGGUGAGGUAACGGCUCACCAAGGCGACGAUCCCUAGCUGGUCUGAGAGGAUGACCAGCCACACUGGAACUGAGACACGGUCCAGACUCCUACGGGAGGCAGCAGUGGGGAAUAUUGCACAAUGGGCGCAAGCCUGAUGCAGCCAUGCCGCGUGUAUGAAGAAGGCCUUCGGGUUGUAAAGUACUUUCAGCGGGGAGGAAGGUGUUGUGGUUAAUAACCGCAGCAAUUGACGUUACCCGCAGAAGAAGCACCGGCUAACUCCGUGCCAGCAGCCGCGGUAAUACGGAGGGUGCAAGCGUUAAUCGGAAUUACUGGGCGUAAAGCGCACGCAGGCGGUCUGUCAAGUCGGAUGUGAAAUCCCCGGGCUCAACCUGGGAACUGCAUUCGAAACUGGCAGGCUUGAGUCUUGUAGAGGGGGGUAGAAUUCCAGGUGUAGCGGUGAAAUGCGUAGAGAUCUGGAGGAAUACCGGUGGCGAAGGCGGCCCCCUGGACAAAGACUGACGCUCAGGUGCGAAAGCGUGGGGAGCAAACAGGAUUAGAUACCCUGGUAGUCCACGCCGUAAACGAUGUCUACUUGGAGGUUGUGCCCUUGAGGCGUGGCUUCCGGAGCUAACGCGUUAAGUAGACCGCCUGGGGAGUACGGCCGCAAGGUUAAAACUCAAAUGAAUUGACGGGGGCCCGCACAAGCGGUGGAGCAUGUGGUUUAAUUCGAUGCAACGCGAAGAACCUUACCUGGUCUUGACAUCCACAGAACUUUCCAGAGAUGGAUUGGUGCCUUCGGGAACUGUGAGACAGGUGCUGCAUGGCUGUCGUCAGCUCGUGUUGUGAAAUGUUGGGUUAAGUCCCGCAACGAGCGCAACCCUUAUCCUUUGUUGCCAGCGGUUAGGCCGGGAACUCAAAGGAGACUGCCAGUGAUAAACUGGAGGAAGGUGGGGAUGACGUCAAGUCAUCAUGGCCCUUACGACCAGGGCUACACACGUGCUACAAUGGCGCAUACAAAGAGAAGCGACCUCGCGAGAGCAAGCGGACCUCAUAAAGUGCGUCGUAGUCCGGAUUGGAGUCUGCAACUCGACUCCAUGAAGUCGGAAUCGCUAGUAAUCGUGGAUCAGAAUGCCACGGUGAAUACGUUCCCGGGCCUUGUACACACCGCCCGUCACACCAUGGGAGUGGGUUGCAAAAGAAGUAGGUAGCUUAACCUUCGGGAGGGCGCUUACCACUUUGUGAUUCAUGACUGGGGUGAAGUCGUAACAAGGUAACCGUAGGGGAACCUGCGGUUG
RNAcentral lists this ribosomal RNA (1522 nucleotides) under Salmonella enterica subsp. enterica serovar Infantis. RNAcentral describes it as "bacterial SSU rRNA". It matches the Rfam family "Bacterial small subunit ribosomal RNA". The record is from RNAcentral. Lineage: Bacteria; Pseudomonadati; Pseudomonadota; Gammaproteobacteria; Enterobacterales; Enterobacteriaceae. RNAcentral also lists the same sequence under 9 other names.